Molecule: long non-coding RNA, 1051 nt
Organism: Mytilus californianus (California mussel)
Lineage: Eukaryota; Metazoa; Mollusca; Bivalvia; Mytilida; Mytilidae
Exons: 2
Source: RefSeq, a predicted model, not a curated record
AAAUGGUGUUUAAAUAGUUUUACGUAUUAAUGGUUUUGAUGUUCUUAAAGAUACUACUUCAGAUUAGUAGUGCCAAAGGCGAAAAAUAUAGUUCAAUGGUUUGUUGUUGAGAACUCGGGCUGAGAAAAGUGUUCACUUCUUAGUAUUUAACUGCACACCUACUACUUAUUACUGUUAUUAUACUUUGAACAAUGGAUGAAGAGAUUCCUAUUGCCAAUUUUGUUUUGGGUGAAAAAUUUAAAACUUGGGAUGCGUUUGAAACAAAACUGAAACAAUAUCAAGACACAAAUUUCAUACAGCUAUACAAACGCAGUUCUAAAAAAAAUUGAUACAUCAAUAGCAAAGUUUGCUAACUGUGAACAAAAAUACUGUGAACUUCUGUAUACAUGUAUCCAUGGAGGACAUAAGCUAUAUUUAAUUCUUAAAUUUUAUAUUAAAUUUGCACUAUAUUUGUUUCAGGUGAUUUCCCGUUACUGACAGAACCUUCCUAUAAGCUCCCCCCUAAAAUGAUACGCCGAGGAAGACCGAAAGGUGCAGAAACGACCGUCGUUGGAUUGCCCAGAAGAACGAAGAGAGUCAUGCCGUUUCUUAAAAGACGACCAAAGGAAAAAGAAGAAGCUAUGCUAAGUUGGAUACUGAAAUGUGAGGUAAACCUAAAAUCCGUAAUGGACGGUAGUGCGAUCAUAUUGAAAGACGACAUGAAACUACACCACAUGCUUCCAACCAAAAUAUUGGAUGAGAAUAUCAACAUUGCUAGAGUGAAAAAGUAUUUCUCACCAGAAGCAUGGCAAACAUUAAAGGUUGCCUUAUCUUCUAAAAGGGAUAUCGCAGAAUGGAACUGCACGGUAUGCGAUACGGACGUUCACAAUGCGGCAUCACUGGUGUGUGAUGGCUGCUUAGAGUGGUUUCAACAGAAAUGUAUCGGACUUAAACAUGCUCCAAAAACCACUUACUGAAUAUGUAGAAAAUGUCAUUGUAAAUAAAAAAUUAAAGAAAUUGUAUGUAAUAAUUGUAUGUAUUGUAAAUAUAAAAUAAAUGUCUUCAACUUUUA